UACGGCGAGUGAGCGGCAACAGCUCAAUUUGAAAUCUGGCGGCCUCUGGGCCGUCCGAGUUGUAAUUUGAAGAGGAUGCUUUUGGCGAGGCGCCUUCCGAGUGCCCUGGAACGGGACGCCACAGAGGGUGAGAGCCCCGUAUGGUUGGACGCCGAGCCUCUGUAAAGCUCCUUCGACGAGUCGAGUAGUUUGGGAAUGCUGCUCAAAAUGGGAGGUAAACCCCUUCUAAAGCUAAAUACUGGCCAGAGACCGAUAGCGCACAAGUAGAGUGAUCGAAAGAUGAAAAGCACUUUGAAAAGAGAGUUAAAUAGCACGUGAAAUUGUUGAAAGGGAAGCGCUUGCGACCAGACUUGUGCCCGUCGAAUCAGCCGCCGCUCGCCGGCGGCGCACUUCGGCGGGCUCAGGCCAGCAUCAGUUCGCUGCAGGGGGAGAAAGGCGGCGGGAAUGUGGCUCUUCGGAGUGUUAUAGCCCGCCGCGCAAUACCCCUCGGCGGACUGAGGACCGCGCAUCUGCAAGGAUGCU
This 522-nucleotide ribosomal RNA is filed under the name Scedosporium apiospermum. RNAcentral's name for it is "eukaryotic LSU rRNA". It matches the Rfam family "Eukaryotic large subunit ribosomal RNA", at positions 85 to 627 of the family's 3401-position model. Lineage: Eukaryota; Fungi; Ascomycota; Sordariomycetes; Microascales; Microascaceae. The record is from RNAcentral.